AGGGCUAUACUUCAUCUACACUAACGUUAACUUUAAACCAAAUUCUACUCGAUACUCUGCUGAUUUCACCUAUCAGACGUGGUUCCAGUACGUCCACCGUCACUCAGCCCACAGCCCCGUGUUAUCUGGUGUCUUGUUGAGAACUGUUCACACAACUUGUGCCAACUGUACACACAGCCAGGAAACUUCUUACACAGGAGGAAUAUUUGACCUUCAAACUGGUGACAUCAUUCAAGUUCAUGUUUCAGGUCAAGGUCUUAUUGGUUUUGGACCAGGCAAAUCAUAUCUGGGCCUUUUUCUCUUAAGUUAAUUAUGUGUGGAUAGAGAGGAGCUAUCGAAAAGACAAGUCAAUUGGUUUAACUGUACUAUUUCUUUCUGUUUUGUUAGGAUAAAAUGUAAAAUCAAUCGUACUUCGGGUUUUCAAUAUUUUUUGUUGGUGUUGGAAAAUAAGUUCAAUAAGCUAAAAUAUCACUACAGUAUUAGAGAAUAGUUUAUUUUAAUUGUCACUUUCACUAUUCUAGUUUUAUUUUUAAAAUAAAAUGCACAGACAGAUUU
Physella acuta is the source of this 555-nucleotide long non-coding RNA. RefSeq lists it as uncharacterized. The record is from RefSeq and is a predicted model, not a curated record. Lineage: Eukaryota; Metazoa; Mollusca; Gastropoda; Physidae.